GAUGAACGCUAGCUACAGGCUUAACACAUGCAAGUCGAGGGGAAACGCCAUCGAAAGCUUGCUUUUGAUGGGCGUCGACCGGCGCACGGGUGAGUAACGCGUAUCCAACCUGCCCAUCACUUGGGGAUAACCUUGCGAAAGUAAGACUAAUACCCAAUGAUAUCUCUAGAAGACAUCUGAAAGAGAUUAAAGAUUUAUCGGUGAUGGAUGGGGAUGCGUCUGAUUAGCUUGUUGGCGGGGUAACGGCCCACCAAGGCAACGAUCAGUAGGGGUUCUGAGAGGAAGGUCCCCCACAUUGGAACUGAGACACGGACCAAACUCCUACGGGAGGCAGCAGUGAGGAAUAUUGGUCAAUGGGCGAGAGCCUGAACCAGCCAAGUAGCGUGCAGGAAGACGGCCCUAUGGGUUGUAAACUGCUUUUAUAAGGGAAUAAAGUGAGAGUCGUGACUCUUUUUGUAUGUACCUUAUGAAUAAGGACCGGCUAAUUCCGUG
This 492-nucleotide ribosomal RNA is filed under the name uncultured bacterium. RNAcentral's name for it is "partial 16S ribosomal RNA". It matches the Rfam family "Bacterial small subunit ribosomal RNA", at positions 28 to 507 of the family's 1533-position model. The record is from RNAcentral.